RNAcentral lists this transfer RNA (76 nucleotides) under Dasypus novemcinctus (nine-banded armadillo). Its description in RNAcentral is "tRNA-Ala (TGC) (tRNA-Ala-TGC-15-1)". It matches the Rfam family "tRNA". Rfam says of the family: Transfer RNA (tRNA) molecules are approximately 80 nucleotides in length. Their secondary structure includes four short double-helical elements and three loops (D, anti-codon, and T loops). Further hydrogen bonds mediate the characteristic L-shaped molecular structure. tRNAs have two regions of fundamental functional importance: the anti-codon, which is responsible for specific mRNA codon recognition, and the 3' end, to which the tRNAs corresponding amino acid is attached (by aminoacyl-tRNA synthetases). tRNAs cope with the degeneracy of the genetic code in two manners: having more than one tRNA (with a specific anti-codon) for a particular amino acid; and 'wobble' base-pairing, i.e. permitting non-standard base-pairing at the 3rd anti-codon position. Lineage: Eukaryota; Metazoa; Chordata; Mammalia; Cingulata; Dasypodidae. The record is from RNAcentral.
GGAGUGGGUGUAGCUCAAGUGGUUGAGCUCCUGCUUUGCAUGUAUGAGGUCCUGGGUUCAAUCCCCAGUAUCUCCU